AGGGUUGCUACACAGCGAUGUGAUGCUAAUCUCAAAAAGCCGAUCGUAGUCCGGAUUGGAGUCUGCAACUCGACUCCAUGAAGUCGGAAUCGCUAGUAAUCGCGGAUCAGAAUGCCGCGGUGAAUACGUUCCCGGGCCUUGUACACACCGCCCGUCACACCAUGGGAGUUUGUUGCACCAGAAGUAGCUAGCCUAACUGCAAAGAGGGCGGUUACCACGGUGUGGCCGAUGACUGGGGUGAAGUCGUAACAAGGUAGCCGUAGGGGAACCUGCGGCUGGAUCACCUCCUUA
RNAcentral lists this ribosomal RNA (291 nucleotides) under Acinetobacter baumannii. RNAcentral describes it as "partial 16S ribosomal RNA". It matches the Rfam family "Bacterial small subunit ribosomal RNA", at positions 1243 to 1533 of the family's 1533-position model. Lineage: Bacteria; Pseudomonadati; Pseudomonadota; Gammaproteobacteria; Moraxellales; Moraxellaceae. The record is from RNAcentral.